This is a long non-coding RNA of Equus caballus (horse), 9298 nucleotides long. Lineage: Eukaryota; Metazoa; Chordata; Mammalia; Perissodactyla; Equidae. The record is from Ensembl.
CUCGUCCCACCAGGGAGGCGCAUCUACGUGGGCUGAGCCCGCUGCGGUCCCUUAAAAUAAAGUCCACAUAAAUCCAAGUGAAGACACCACUUCCUGAAGUGAGUAAGCUUGACUAUUCUUCCUGCCCCCAGGGACUUUCAAACGGCAUUGAAAAUGAGAAUCAUCUGUCUCAAAAAUGUUUCCUUGUCAAGUUAAUUGAAUGGCGAAGGCUAGCGAUGGGGCAAUGCCCAAUCGUGUCUUCGGCUCCCGUUUUAGCACAAGCCAAAGGGCUUCUCGGAACAACACCAGGAUUUGUGUAGUGUCCGUGUCUUCAAGUCAUGCUCUGCUUUUCACUGUUCUUUUUAAGGCAUAGAAAUAAGGGUCACAGCCAAGCCUCCAGGAGCUGUGGUGGGUGGGAAGGAGGCAGUGGAGAUGCCGGCAGGUAAACAGGAGACGGCAAAAUUCAGUUUCAGGCUGUGCUCGACCUUGCAGAGAAACCUGGGUUUGCCUCUCACUGGUUGGUGUCCUUGGGUAAGCUGUCUAAUGGCUCUGCCACAACCCCUGUCCCACGCGGUCACACAGGGCCCCGCGAUCCGAAGGGCUCGUGCUCGGUUUAACGCUCUGCUGUCAUCGUCUUGAAAUUCUUAAUAAUUUUUGAACAAGAGCACUGCAUUUUCAUUUUGCAGUGGGCCCUGUAAAUCACGUGGCCAAAUCCUGCUCUCUGAGCUCAAUUUUCACAUGUGUGAAAUGGCAGGAACGACACCGUCCCUCUGCAGGACCACCGUGACAUUCCAGACCAGUCCAGCGGCUGGCAGCCUGCAAUGCUGCCAGUACCUGCCUGGCCAUGCCAGGAGCUCAAGUGACCAUGGCUGCAGUCAUUUUCAGGACCCAUCUCAGAAGGAAGUCUUUAACUACAGGCCUGAGACCAUGACUCGAAGCUUCCGGAACCUUUGAAAUUCUCACUGUUUAUUAUUUUUGUUACUCCCAUCUGUUUCCUGCAGCAAUGAACUCUUUAAAUGGAAAGGCUGUGAACUUGCGUGGGGGGUGGGGAGCUGCGCAGGGCAGGGGCUGGUGGGAGGCUCCACCCCUUGGGCAGCCUGGCUGGGGAGGAGAGUCCCCGGGGAGAAGUGGCAGAGCUGAGAAAACAGACCAGGUCCCCAGAGCUUCCGCAAGGGAGGAAGGAAGAAAUGGCUUCUCUCUCACAGUUCACCCAGUUAGGAUUUCCAAACAGUAACAGAAAAAGUGGAGUUACAGCUGGAACUAAGGGACGUGCAUGAGCCCACAGCCCAUCUCGUCCCUCCCUCCACACGCUGUGAGCUUCUGUAGCUAAAGAGCUUCUAAGAGCCAUGGGGUCACCCUGCCCCACCUCAGCAGGUGCACCUCAGCCAGUUCCAAUGGGGCAGGAGUGAUGAGCGGCUUUGUCUCCUCCAUCACUUCUACCCCUGCAGGUGUCCAGGGCCCUAACCCACCCCUACAGUUUACACAUGUCCUGAGACACUGAAAUGGGAGCAUCCACAUAGGAUAAACACUAGGCGACAGGCAAGCCCUCAGACACUAUUGGAGGUGCCCCUCUGGGCCAGUGUGCUGGCCACCCCAAAAGGAGGUCCUCACCUGCCAUCCACAGGAAGGACACCCACGUAGCUCCUGUGGGGAUGGUGUGCAGUGACCACAAGAAGAGACUGCAGAUGUGAAGGUGCUGACUGAGCUCCCUUGGCACCCCUGGCCGAUGACAGAAGAGCUCCCUCCACGGGGAGCCGGGUGGUUCUGGAAGCUGAGUCCGCUUGUGCCCACGUGGCCCUGCCUCCCCUCCAUCUCUCUCCUUUCCCCCAGCCAGGGGAAUCCUUUCCAUCUGCAGGUGCAGAAGUUUCCCUCUUCCCCGACUCUCCUCCCACAUCCAUUAUUUAUGCCUCAGUCCCUCUCAUCCCCCUGAGGCCAAAGGUUUUGAAACUCCAGAGCCGAGAGCUGACAGUCUGUCUUCUGAGUUUCUGUUGACUCAUCGCCUUGGGGAUGCACAGCUGGCAGAAUGGAGGAGGGGGCAAGGUGGGAACACCAGGAGCAAAAACAUGUAUCAUCCCACCACACGCUCUCAAAUAGUUAUGUCAAGACUUGUGAUGAUGAUUUGUGUUUAUUUGUUUCACGAAAGUAGAGCUAUGCCCGUGGGUGUGGGUCAGAUGCUGGAGGAGGGAGUAGCACCCUGCUUUGUGCCCCAAGACAUCCAGCUAUCAAAGGGGAUGCUGGGAGAAAUGCAGAGCCCAGCAUGGCCUGGGUUGGGACGGAUGUCUCCACACUGAGACUGAGCAAGCCACUCAGCCCACUGCCCCGUCCAUCUCCUCUCUGAGGCCUCCGCCAUGAGGGAAGUCACUUUACCCACGAGACAGUGUGGUGGUCCCAGAGUCUGUGAUGGAGACCAUGGGAAUUGGUAGGGUUUCUGAUGCGCAACAAGGAAGCCCACCUAUGGAAGUUAGAUGUGCUUUCAGCCUGAGCUUCUUUUGAAUGGGAGCGUUAUUUACUCAAUAAAUCUUAAUAACUCCAUCAAUUACCAUAGAAAUAUUUUGGAAACAUCUUCACCCAGUUGGGAAAGGCUCCUAACCAGGUGACAGGGGAAUUCUUCUCUUUCCCCAUCAGCGAGUGGGACCGGCCACUGAGAGUUCACGGUGGUCCAGAGUCUUGGUGAAAAUAACUCUGAGAUCAGCAGACCAAGACAAUCCUGAGAAUCAAGAAGCUUCUAGGGACCAAUCUGGAAAAUAGAGCACCUCGUCCUGAUCUGGAAGACAUUUCCAUCCACAGCUCUGCAAAAGGGCACCUUCCUUAGUCAUUUCAUCCCAAUUUGGCUCCUUUUAACAAAUGCAUUUUCAAGUUCAGAGCUGGAAUGGGCCCCUGGAGGCUUCUGAGGCCUGGAGAACAGGAGAGAACUAAGUACAGAGAGAUGGAACUGGAGCCACUGUCUCAGAGCCCACUGGAACCCCAGCCAAAGGUUGGCCCUGCGCACAAGACCAAAUCACAGAAUUUCUCUGCUGAAUUCGCCCCAAGGUUAAUAGCACUUUUUGUGUUCCUCCCAAGUCCCUACAUGGCGCAGGGGGAGAAUCCCACCACAAAUCAGUCAGCUGAUCUUGGGUACAUUUUAUAGUCCUCGGAAUCUACAUCUCCAGCCAUAAAAUGGAAAUCAUUGUAUUUAUCCUCCCUCAUAAUACAGCGAGUCCCUCCUAUCGGAUAGUUGGCUAUCUGAGCACAGGGACCAUGUUGUAUUCAUUUUCCACAGAGCCCAGUAGAGGUACCUAUUAGUAACAACAACCACAACAGCAGCAAUAAUAAUAAUAAAGUAUCCUCUAUUGAAGACCUACUAUGUGCCCGGGACUCUGCUAAUCAUGGGUCAUACAUUAUCUCAUUGAAUCCUUAUAACACACUUCGGUUUGGUAUGGUUAUUAGCCCCAUUUUACAGAUGAGGAAGCUGAAGGUCAGAGAGUGGAAGUCUAACCUACUCAAUUUUUAAUACUUGAUCCUGGCUCCUUUGCCCUCCCUUCUCUCCCCUCCCCAACCCUUCUCCCUCUAGCAAAAAAGAACAAUAAUCUGGUGUAUGAAAAGACUUUUCAUAAACGUAAACUCAAAUAAAUUGUGUCUGGAGCAUCUGUGGCUCUCUCUCCUUUCCAAGGAUCAUUGGCCAUUCAUUUAUUCAGGAAACAAUUACUGCAAGUCUCCUCUGCACAGGCUGAGGAUAAAAUAACGAGCUAAAAUGAUCAUCCUCCAGCCCUCGGGAACUUACAGUCUAGGAAUAUUGUCUGACGUGCUGGGCAUCUCUGUAAGCAAAAGGUAGUCUCCGUCUUACCCAUCCCUGCCCAGGUUUUAUUCAUUCAUUCUUCACCAUUUACUAUCUAUUGAACUAAGAUUGGGUUAGCCUGCAAGUAACAUAAUCCAAAUAUCAAUGGCUGCCUUAAACUGUAAAGAGAGGGCUUAUUUUUCUUGUAUAACAUAAGGUCCAGUAGUAACUUGUUUAAUAACUAAAAGAUGUCAGAACAGAGAGGUCUUGAUGGUUCUGGUGGCCUUUGCCUCAUGGAUGUAUGAUGGUUGCCACAGUGCCAGCAAUUGAAUCUAUAGUCUGAAAAAGUGGAAAGUGGUGGGACCGGCCCAGUGGCAUAGUGGUUAAGUUCACGUGCUCCACUUUGGUGGCCCAGAGUUCACGGGUUUGGAUUUCAGGCACAGACCGAUCACGGACCUACAUACCGCUCAUCAAACUGUGCUGUGGCAGCAUCCCACACACAAAGUAGAGGAAGAUGGGCACAGAUGUUAGCUCACUGACAAUCUUCCUCAAGCAAAAAGAGGAAGAUUGGCAACAGAUGUUAGCUCAGGGCCAGUCUUCCUCGCCAAAAAAAUAAAUAAAUAAAAAUGAAAAAGAGGAAAAGUGGCAAAAGGGCCCACAUCAGCUGAGUCAACCUCCCUUUCAUGGGCUUUUCUGGAAGUCCUUUGCAACGUCUUAGCACUAAACACUUCUGUCACAGACACUGUUGGUGCCUGCCCCUCCGUGUCCCCUUGGCACUCGUCAUUUGGGCACCACAGAAUGUCCUUCUACAAACACCUUCCUUUUGCCCCAGGAGCUUGCUCAGGUCACCACACAGACCAGGCCAGAAGUGCAGAGUUAAGGGUACCUGGGAGAAGUCUCAACCAAUGACAGACAGCAGGUGGUGGAUAAAUAGCCCAGGUGGGAAAAGAUGGGGCCUGUUCUACACCAUGUCUCAGAGGUUCCCAGCGGGAUCAAGCCCCAGUUGGCUCCAGCCAUCACUUGCUCACUCACACACUCUGCGUUUGGCAUCUUCUCUUCCUUGUCUCAUUUCCACAAAUCCUUCCUGGGUCACCUUCCAAAUAAAGUGCCAGCUCUUAAACCUCGGACUUAAAGAUUCUGCUUCUGGGAACCCAACCUAAGGCAGCUUGUUGGCCAGACUGCAUCCCGGGGCCACACGGGCUGCAAGAUCCUGGAGAGGGCGCUCCUUGAGACGGAUACGUUACUGCUCCCGUCAACACUGGGGUUCUGUUGACAUGGAGGGGAGAAGGGGUAGCAAUUUGGGUGGGAUCGCACCUAGCAAUCUCUACCAUCCCUAGAUCAGGCCAGCUCCAGGUAGGUGCAGGAUCUCCCACAUUUGCACCAAGGACCCUCCAAGUGCCAUGCAUGCCAAGCAUCCUGCUGGGCACGGGUUCCAGUGGAGGCCAGGGACAGCCUCUGCUCAGGGACUUACAGUCUCGAGGAGGACGGAGACAGACAAACAGCAGCUGUAAUGCAGAUAUGGGCGUUGACCUCUGGGAGCCCUCGAGCGAAGGAGGCUCCACCCUAAGAGCUUUACAUACGUGGUGAUGCUGAACCCUCGAAAGCAGCCUCUGAGACAAGGACUAGUUUUACUUUUUUUGUUCUACAGAUGAACAAACUGAGAAUCAGGGAGGUUGAGUGACUUGCCCAAGAACACACAGCUAAUAAGUGGCAGAGUUCAAACUCAAACUCAGUUUGUACUGAAGAAGCGAUGUCCCAGCUACGCGUGGAAGGGUGAGCAGCAGUGGGACAGAUGGAGAAGAGGGCAAGACAGUUCUAGGCAGAGAACGGCCCAUGCAAAGGCCAGAGACUUGAGAUGCUCCGUAAGGCUGCCCAUGCUGGGGAGCUGCCCAGGCCUCAGCUGAGCAAAGGGAGCGACAGCUUGAAAGGGGCUGCUCCAGCCCCCAGAGCUGGGACCAGGAGCCACCCUCACUCCACUAGGACACCUCCCCACCAUUCUCUCUCGCUCACUGGCUCGCUUUCUCUUACACACACACACAUUCCCUACAUUCUGGCCGCCCCCCCCCCCCCCCCCCGUGCUCACCACCUCACAGGUACCCACUCCAACACACCACCUGCUUGACCUCAGUUUACACCGGUGCCCUGUUACCUCUAGAUCAAGUGCAGAAUUUCCCAUGCUUGUAUUGAGGACCCUCUAAGCACCACUUUCAGAAUCAGAGAGUCAGGGGUUCAAAUCCCAGCUCUGGGUUAGCCCCAAGUAAGUCAGAUAGUCUGUCUCAACCUCAGUUUUCCCAUCUGCAAAACGGGAAUGAAAAUCCCCACUUCACAAGGUUGUAGUGAGGACCUAACGAGAUUGUAUGGGUAAGUUCACAACAUGGUGGCAGGCAUCCAUCGGCCGUUUUCUUUUAUUAUUAUUAUUAAUCAUACGAGCACCCUAGAAUAUCCACCCUUAGCUACUACAUCCUAAUCUUGCAAUGACUGUCCGCGCCCUCGCUCCUGCACCAGCUGUUCUGCACACCUGGAAUGCCUUCCCACUCCUCCCUCUUCCAGCUAUUCCCUGGACCAGGCCUGGGGGCCUUGCCCCUCCAGCUGCUUCUCCUUUGGCUCAGUGAAUUGCAAACUCGGCUGGGUAGUAGAAUCACCGGGGAGCUUUUUAAGACUCCCCCCCCCCCCCCGGGGGCCCGACGCCUAGGCCCCGAAGAGACGGACUACAUCAGAAUUCUGAGCUGGGCACCCUGGGCACCAGGAUGUCCUCAGGCUUCCCCAGGUGAUUUUGAUUUGCAGGCAGGUUUGAGAACCCGCCCUCCGACCUCUUCCUUCUGCGAAGUCCUGUAGUUUGACCUACGUUUACCCUGUGCCUUUCGCUUCUUGAUGGCUGGCUUGUGUGUGUUUGUCUUGUCCCCUGAGCAAAGCCAAGUUCUUGCGAGGAAGCACCACCUAGCUUCCCUCACGACCCCCGGCGAGUGCUGACCUCCUUUCCACACUGUCAAGACGAGUUCGCCAGGAGGCUGGUGCACACACAGCAGGUCAUUUAUCUCCAUCUCUCUUCGCCUCCCCACGGGCCCUUCCUGCUCAGCAGCGGCUGUCACUCGGAUCCCCUAGGAGCCGACCUCUGCCUUUCCACGUGUGGCUCUCGGUGGGGACUCCUCAAAGCAAAUCCAGAGGGCCUGCCCCGCCCUCCAGACAGCCUGUCCCUAACGGCAGGGUCGAGGUCCGCGUGCGCCGCGCGUGCGCAGCCAGCCUGCGCCCCGUCCAUCCACUCCCAGCCCCCUGCGGCGGCCCCUUGGCCUCACCACUGCCCUGCAUCCUCGGGAGGUGCUCGGGGGAAGAGAAACAUGCAGGCUAGGGCAGAAAAUAUUCUCCAAAAUGGCCACAGAAACAUCUCCCACGCCGUGGACUCUUCUACCGUGUAACCUAGCCCCGCGGCCAUCAACCUUGCCCCCAUCCCUCCCCGGACCUGGCCAGACUUUUGUUUCUGCCUCUACCAAUAACAUGACAGAAGGGCCUCUGGAAGCGGGUCCUGAAAGGUGAUUCGGCUUCCUCCUGGGUCUCCCUCCUGGGACACUUGUUUCUAGAACCACUGGCCACAAGCCUUUAAAACUAUAAUGCACCUGCCUUGAAGCACUCGGAUGAGAACUAAGAUGAAAAUGCAUAGGGAAGACUUAUCCCAGCCUUUGGCAUAUAGCGAGCAGUUGCCACAAGCUGAUGCACAGGUGCGCAUCCUCUCUGCUGGGCCUGAAGACCCCGAUGGCUCCAACCCACUACGUGAAGCCACCUCCCCCUCCCCCGCCCCAACUCUGACAACGGCAUCUAUGUUUCUUCAUGGAAAAACCUUCUCGACUCAAUUCACUGCCAAGCCAGGCGAGCGCUCCAACUCGACAGAAUUAUCAGCACUGAGCUAACAGAGACAGAUGAACCGAGAGGCGAGUGGGGACAGCGAGCAAACAGAUCUAUUUCCCAGCUCCGAGAUCCGGUCUGGGCUUCCCCCCAACAAAAGACGAACUUCUCUGCGGAGGUGUCCACGGAGCCCCUGUGUUAAGUCAAUUUUCCUCCCCUUGGCCUUCCAUGAGUGGCUGAGGAAGGAGGUGGGGGGCCCAGGUGGCGAACCCCAACACUGGCCCUGAGCAUCUUCUCACCCAGGGAGGCUUUCCCGCCAUCCCAUCUAAGAGGCCGCUGGAGGACCAGGGGGAAAAAAGAGUUUGAAAAAUGCAGUUCUUUGGUGAAAAGAUUGGCUGUCUGAGGGCUGAAUGGAAAACAGUCAACUUCAAUCCGAUGGGAAAUUCUUCUUUCCCCGGGCUUUCUAUCUUACGAGUUUUCACAGCCAAUCUUAAGCCCCUGGCAGCCCCCUGGGGAUUGGAGCUGCUUGUAGGGGGGCUGUGGGUCCUGCUUGGAAAAGGCUCCCAAGAUGAUAAAACGGCGGGGCUCUCAAGUCAAUGAUCUGUGGCCGCAGACAGGCCAGGUGGUGCCCACACACAUGCUGCUAUGGGGGCUGUUGACCCCUGGGGCUGUUGCUUCCAGUGGAGGGGCAGCGCAGCUCCGGAGUCUUCCUAGUCCCCCAGGGGCACCCUGUGUGACCUGCUAAGUGAUUUCACGCCUCAAUGCCUGGACAGCCCCAUCUAUCACAUGGGACAGGGCGCACACCGUCUCUUACCACACGGGAGUCGGUCUAAAGAUCAUUGUUCACAUGUUUCGAGCUGGAGUGUUCCAGUAGCCCAGCACCUGGAAUUAGGACACUGGGUCAAAGGGCAUGUCAUUAAACAUUUUGAUAGAUACUAAAAGCUCUCCCAGUUUUCGCUCCUGUGUCAGGCAACUUUUACUGUGUAACAACUUGGAAAUUUCAGCUGCACAGAACCAGCAUUUGUUUUCUGGCUCACUUGCCUGCAGUUCAGCAGGCGGGGCUGAUCCAGGCUGGGCAUGGCUGGGCUGAGCUCCAGGCCUUGUCUCCUGUCCUCCUGGGACCUGUAGCUCCCUGGGUAAUGUUGUUCUCCUGGUGAUAGCCAAAGCACAAGAGGGACAAGCAGAAACAUUCCAGGCCCCUGAAGGCCUAGGCACAGAACUGGCCACCAUCACGCCUGCCCCCAUUCCAUUGGGCAGAGCCAGUCCUGUGGCCAAGCCCGGUGUCAGUGGGGCAGGGAGGCCUACACCUCCCGUGAAGUUUGGAGUAGGGGUGGAGUGAAUGCUUACAGAUGGGUAAUGCAGUCUACACAACCCCUGUCAUGUGUGUGCGUGUCUGCUUAUGCUCACACUCGUGCACAAAGAGGUAUGUGCAAGAAUGUUCACUGCAACACAGUGUGUGCUGUUGAAACCUGAAGAAAAAACCCCAAAUACGGUAGUCCCUCUGUAUUCGAGGGAUUGGGUCCAGGGCUCCCUGGAUACCCAAAUCUGGGAUGCUCAAGUCUCCCAUACAAAAUGUCAUAGUAUUUGCAUAUAAUCUAUGCCCCUCCUCCCAUAUAUUUUAAAUCAUCUCUAGAUUAUUUAUAAUACCUAAUACAAUGUAAAUGCUAUGUAAAUAGUUGUUCCAUUGUAUUGUUUAGAGAAUAAUGACGAGAAAAAAAAGUCUAUACA